This 497-nucleotide ribosomal RNA is filed under the name uncultured bacterium. Its description in RNAcentral is "partial 16S ribosomal RNA". It matches the Rfam family "Bacterial small subunit ribosomal RNA", at positions 28 to 507 of the family's 1533-position model. The record is from RNAcentral.
GAUGAACGCUGGCGGCGUGCCUAAUACAUGCAAGUCGAGCGAACAGACGAGGAGCUUGCUCCUCUGACGUUAGCGGCGGACGGGUGAGUAACACGUGGAUAACCUACCUAUAAGACUGGGAUAACUUCGGGAAACCGGAGCUAAUACCGGAUAAUAUAUUGAACCGCAUGGUUCAAUAGUGAAAGACGGUUUUGCUGUCACUUAUAGAUGGAUCCGCGCCGCAUUAGCUAGUUGGUAAGGUAACGGCUUACCAAGGCAACGAUGCGUAGCCGACCUGAGAGGGUGAUCGGCCACACUGGAACUGAGACACGGUCCAGACGCCUACGGGAGGCAGCAGUAGGGAAUCUUCCGCAAUGGGCGAAAGCGUGACGGAGCAACGCCGCGUGAGUGAUGAAGGUCUUCGGAUCGUAAAACUCUGUUAUUAGGGAAGAACAAAUGUGUAAGUAACUAUGCACGUCUUGACGGUACCUAAUCAGAAAGCCACGGCUAACUACGUG